GCCAGGCGUGGUGGUGCAUGCCUGUAGUCCCAGCUACUCGGGAGGCUGAGGUGGGAGGAUCGCUUGAGCUCAGGAGUUCUGGGCUGUCAUGCGCUAUGCCGAUCGGGUAUCCGCAGUUCGGCAUCAAUACAGUGACCUCCUGGGAGUGAGGGACAGGACCACCAGGUUGUCUAAGGAGGGGUCAACAGGCCCAGGUUGGAAACGGAGCAGGUCAAAACCACUGUGCUGAUCAGUAGUGGGAUCGCGCCUGUGAAUCGCCACUGCACUCCAGCCUGAGCAACAUAGUGAGACCCCGUCUCA
Molecule: signal recognition particle RNA, 300 nt
Filed under: Aotus nancymaae (Ma's night monkey)
Lineage: Eukaryota; Metazoa; Chordata; Mammalia; Primates; Aotidae
Description: Metazoan signal recognition particle RNA (ENSANAG00000008987.1)
Rfam family: Metazoan signal recognition particle RNA
About the family: The signal recognition particle (SRP) is a universally conserved ribonucleoprotein. It is involved in the co-translational targeting of proteins to membranes.
Source: RNAcentral